UCGAGAAUCUUUCACAAUGGGGGCAACCCUGAUGGAGCGACGCCGCGUGGAGGAUAAGGUCUUCGGAUUGUAAACUCCUGUCAUGCGAGAACAAGGUUGUAGAGUUAAUAGCUUUGCAAAUUGAUGGUACCGCAAGAGGAAGAGACGGCUAACUCUGUGCCAGCAGCCGCGGUAAUACAGAGGUCUCAAGCGUUGUUCGGAAUCACUGGGCGUAAAGGGUGCGUAGGUGGCGUGGUAAGUCAGAUGUGAAAGCCCGGGGCUCAACCUCGGAAUUGCAUCCGAUACUGCCGUGCUAGAGUACUGAAGAGGUGACUAGAAUUCUCGGUGUAGCAGUGAAAUGCGUAGAUAUCGAGAGGAAUACCAACGGCGAAGGCAGGUCACUGGGCAGUUACUGACACUGAGGCACGAAGGCCAGGGGAGCAAACGGGAUUAGAUACCCAGGUAGUCCCUGAGCGGGCUGGCAAGGCGCAU
This 471-nucleotide ribosomal RNA is filed under the name uncultured bacterium. RNAcentral's name for it is "bacterial SSU rRNA". It matches the Rfam family "Bacterial small subunit ribosomal RNA", at positions 355 to 825 of the family's 1533-position model. The record is from RNAcentral.